CGAACGCUGGCGGCGUGCCUAAUACAUGCAAGUCGAGCGGAGUUAUUUUGAAAGCUUGCUUUCAAAAUAACUUAGCGGCGGACGGGUGAGUAACACGUAGGCAACCUGCCCCUUAGACUGGGAUAACUACCGGAAACGGUAGCUAAUACCGGAUAAUUUCUUUUUUCUCCUGAAGAAAGAAUGAAAGACGGAGCAAUCUGUCGCUGAGGGAUGGGCCUGCGGCGCAUUAGCUAGUUGGUGGGGUAACGGCCCACCAAGGCGACGAUGCGUAGCCGACCUGAGAGGGUGAACGGCCACACUGGGACUGAGACACGGCCCAGACUCCUACGGGAGGCAGCAGUAGGGAAUCUUCCGCAAUGGACGAAAGUCUGACGGAGCAACGCCGCGUGAGUGAUGAAGGUUUUCGGAUCGUAAAGCUCUGUUGCCAGGGAAGAACGUCCGGUAGAGUAACUGCUAUCGGAGUGACGGUACCUGAGAAGAAAGCCCCGGCUAACUACGUGCCAGCAGCCGCGGUAAUACGUAGGGGGCAAGCGUUGUCCGGAAUUAUUGGGCGUAAAGCGCGCGCAGGCGGUCAUUUAAGUCUGGUGUUUAAACCUUGGGCUCAACCUGAGGUCGCACUGGAAACUGGGUGACUUGAGUACAGAAGAGGAAAGUGGAAUUCCACGUGUAGCGGUGAAAUGCGUAGAUAUGUGGAGGAACACCAGUGGCGA
This 710-nucleotide ribosomal RNA is filed under the name uncultured bacterium. RNAcentral's name for it is "bacterial SSU rRNA". It matches the Rfam family "Bacterial small subunit ribosomal RNA", at positions 30 to 718 of the family's 1533-position model. The record is from RNAcentral.